Malaclemys terrapin pileata is the source of this 582-nucleotide long non-coding RNA. RefSeq lists it as uncharacterized. Lineage: Eukaryota; Metazoa; Chordata; Testudines; Emydidae. The record is from RefSeq and is a predicted model, not a curated record. The transcript is spliced from 2 exons.
UUUUCUGAAGUUUUAGUGGAGGGGACUUUGGAUACUUAUGUGAAAUGUUUUUGGUGGUUUGUUUUGUUUGGGACAAAGUACGACGGAGGUCUGCUGUGGUCCACGGGAAUUUUUGGAGGAACAGAUCCAUGGGCAACCAUGGAGACAAAUGUUUUACUGCCCUUUGAACAGUCUCAGGGUAAAGACAGCACAGGUUAAGGCAUCUGUGUGGCAAUAAUUGUACUUGGUGGCUGAGUUGUUAAAAACAAAGUGCGCUACCUUCAAAAACUAAAUGUAGGAGUAAGUGAUUUAAAAAAACACUCUACAAGCAUGCUGGCGCCAGCGAAAGAAUAACCCAGAAUACUAUGAAUCUAUGUUUUGCGUUCUUUGUCUGUGGUGUUUGUCUUGUUGCUAGCAUGACGUGGGUGGGGGAUGGCUUCAAAAGGCUGACGGGUGGAAAAUGUGUACGAAAAUGCAAAAUGCUCAACGCGGAGGCCAGCACCUGUGUAACAGCUACCAUGGUACCUGAAAAUAGAACGGCAACUAAAAUGAUGCUUGCUAAAAGUUUACCCCAAUAAACAUCAAAUUGUUUGCGCCUUUGAA